UAGUUUGAUCCUGGCUCAGGACGAAUGGAAUGUCUUGCUUAACACUUGCAAGUCGAACGGGAACCUUUAUUUCAAAAAGGUGAGAGUGGCAAACGGGUGAGUAACACGUAGGCAACCUGCCGACAGGAUGGGGACAACAUUCCGAAAGGAAAGCUAAUACCGAAUGGAGUCCGAGAAUGGCAUCAUCCUUGGAUAAAAGAUGGCCUCUUAACAAUGCUAUCGCCUGUCGAUGGGCCUGCGUCUGAUUAGCCAGUUGGCGGGGUAACGGCCCACCAAAGCGACGAUCAGUAGCCGGUCUGAGAGGAUGAACGGUUUCAUUGGGACUGAGACACGGCCCAGACUCCUG
This 346-nucleotide ribosomal RNA is filed under the name uncultured bacterium. Its description in RNAcentral is "bacterial SSU rRNA". It matches the Rfam family "Bacterial small subunit ribosomal RNA", at positions 9 to 341 of the family's 1533-position model. The record is from RNAcentral.